This 84-nucleotide transfer RNA is filed under the name Actinomycetes bacterium. RNAcentral describes it as "tRNA-Leu". It matches the Rfam family "tRNA". From Rfam's summary of the family: Transfer RNA (tRNA) molecules are approximately 80 nucleotides in length. Lineage: Bacteria; Bacillati; Actinomycetota; Actinomycetes. The record is from RNAcentral.
GCGGGAGUGGUGGAAUGGCAGACACGCCGGCUUUAGGUGCCGGUGUCCUCGGACGUGCGGGUUCAAGUCCCGCCUCCCGCACCA